This 254-nucleotide ribosomal RNA is filed under the name uncultured bacterium. Its description in RNAcentral is "partial 16S ribosomal RNA". It matches the Rfam family "Bacterial small subunit ribosomal RNA", at positions 524 to 776 of the family's 1533-position model. The record is from RNAcentral.
UACGGGGGGAGCAAGCGUUGUUCGGAUUUACUGGGCGUAAAGGGCGCGUAGGCGGCCACCGCAAGUCGACUGUGAAAUCUCCGGGCUUAACCCGGAAAGGUCAGCCGAUACUGCGGGGCUAGAGUGCAGAAGGGGCAACUGGAAUUCUCGGUGUAGCGGUGAAAUGCGUAGAUAUCGAGAGGAACACCUGCGGCGAAGGCGGAUCUCUGGGCCUGUCCUGACGCUCAGGCGCGAAAGCUAGGGGAGCAAACAGG